AGUAUUAAAAACAAAAAUGGAAAGAAAGAAAGAAAAAGAUUGACGUGGAAGGAAGGAUACAGAAGGAACAGAAUGGGAGGAAAUGUAGAUCAGAGAGAAUAUAAUUAACGAAAGUAUAUAAGAGAGAGAAGGAAUAACUUCUACUUUUUCAAAACAUAUAUAAUACUAACGUCAAAAGAUCAUGUGAGACACUGAUGUUUGGGGUGGUUGUGUUUUAGCGUGUGCAUGAUACCAACUCCUUUUAAUUUGAUAUAAAACCCAGAAUAUAGCUGAGGUUUCUCAGAGUUUCAUUGUCCAGUUGUUUGAUCUCUUUGUGCUUCAGAGGAGUAAAAGGUUUAGUACUCUUUGUGUGUUAAGCAGUGAUGAACGACCCUAAGUACCCAUAUGCUUACCCUGCCCAAGGUUAUUAUCAAGGACCCCCAGUGAUGGCACCUCCACAAUAUGCUGCUGCACCACCCAGGAGAUCAGAACCAGGUUUCCUUGAGGGAUGUUUAGCGGCUCUCUGUUGCUGCUUCGUAAUUGACGAGUGUUGCUGCGACCCAUCCAUCUUAUUUCUCUGCUGAUCAUCAUCGGCCUGUAAUUACAUGCACGUACGAAUAUUUCCCGCUUAUAAAUAGUAUCAUGCUCGAAGUUGUUCUUGGCUGGUGAUCAUCAGUUAAAUUCACGCGUGCGUACAUGUAGACUUUGUUUUAAAUUUGCAGUUUAUGUGUCUAUCGAUCUUUGUGUUGUAGUUUCUGAGAGGCUAUAUAUAAAUUCAUCAAUUUCUCUUUAUAA
This is a long non-coding RNA of Carya illinoinensis, 774 nucleotides long. RefSeq lists it as uncharacterized. The transcript has 3 exons. The record is from RefSeq and is a predicted model, not a curated record. Lineage: Eukaryota; Viridiplantae; Streptophyta; Magnoliopsida; Fagales; Juglandaceae.